AACGAACGCUGGCGGCAUGCCUAACACAUGCAAGUCGAACGAGACCUUCGGGUCUAGUGGCGCACGGGUGCGUAACGCGUGGGAACCUGCCCUUAGGUUCGGAAUAACUCCCCGAAAGGGGUGCUAAUACCGGAUAAUGUCUUCGGACCAAAGAUUUAUCGCCUUUGGAUGGGCCCGCGUUGGAUUAGCUAGUUGGUAGGGUAAAAGCCUACCAAGGCGACGAUCCAUAGCUGGUCUGAGAGGAUGAUCAGCCACACUGGGACUGAGACCCGGCCCAGACUCCUACGGGAGGCAGCAGUGGGGAAUAGUGGAAAAUGGGCGAAAGCAUGAUGCAGCAAUGCCGCGUGAGUGAUGAAGGCCGUAGGGUUGUAAAGCUCUUUUACCCGGGAUGAUAAUGACAGUACCGGGAGAAUAAGCGCCGGCUAACUCCGUG
This 433-nucleotide ribosomal RNA is filed under the name uncultured bacterium. RNAcentral describes it as "partial 16S ribosomal RNA". It matches the Rfam family "Bacterial small subunit ribosomal RNA", at positions 29 to 507 of the family's 1533-position model. The record is from RNAcentral.